RNAcentral lists this long non-coding RNA (511 nucleotides) under Gossypium barbadense (sea-island cotton). Its description in RNAcentral is "long non-coding RNA (GBAR_LNC017518)". Lineage: Eukaryota; Viridiplantae; Streptophyta; Magnoliopsida; Malvales; Malvaceae. The record is from RNAcentral.
UCUCUAUACAAAGAGUUCCGAUUUUCCAUUUUUGUUUUCCCCAGAAAAUUAACAAAGAAAAAACGGUGGCACCACCACCGCAAAAUAAAACUUUUUUUCCCGAUCACUUUUUCGCCGCCUUCUAUUUACAAUGCAAAUUACCCAAAUCAAAAUCACCAUCAAUAUCCGACCAACUCCGAUACCCACCCAACAUCAGGACCCGACCCGGUAGGAUCAAGUAGGUCAAGAGAAUUUUCCUCACUCAGCUUAGCGUACAUCCUUGUCCUCAAGUCUCUCCCGGAUUCCACUCUCUCCAUUGCAGGUUCGUCAAACGCAUUAUUGCUUUCCCAGAGCUCAAACUUACUGAGUCCGGACCGAGUCGGUGUACGAGUUGGAGUGAGAGGAGAGCCGGGUCGGAGCAUGGAGCUCCUUGGAGAAACAAAACAUGAUCCCCGAGAACAAGUAGUUCCCAUUUUAGCUUUACCAAACUGUAGAUUACGUACGGAAGAGGUGAGUUCACUUACCGAGUUAA